RNAcentral lists this non-coding RNA (104 nucleotides) under Wenjunlia vitaminophila. RNAcentral's name for it is "Streptomyces vitaminophilus ZTP sequence". It matches the Rfam family "ZMP/ZTP riboswitch aptamer (pfl RNA motif)". Rfam says of the family: Previously known as pfl RNA. ZMP is also known as AICAR. The record is from Rfam by way of RNAcentral. Lineage: Bacteria; Bacillati; Actinomycetota; Actinomycetes; Kitasatosporales; Streptomycetaceae.
UGGAGGCGUCGCGACUGGCGAACGUGGAAGCGACCACGGGGAAGCGGCAUGGCGGAGCACGACUCCGUGACCUCUCCGCGGUGCCGUCCGCCUGGGCCCCGGGU